Molecule: ribosomal RNA, 253 nt
Filed under: uncultured bacterium
Lineage: Bacteria
Description: partial 16S ribosomal RNA
Rfam family: Bacterial small subunit ribosomal RNA
Source: RNAcentral
UACAGAGGGGGCAAGCGUUAUUCGGAAUUAUUGGGCGUAAAGGGCGUGUAGGCGGCUUCGUAAGUCUUGUGUGAAAGCCCUCGGCUCAACCGAGGAAUUGCACGAGAAACUGCGUGGCUCGAGUCCGGGAGAGGAUAGUGGAAUUCCCAGUGUAGCGGUGAAAUGCGUAGAUAUUGGGAGGAACACCGGUGGCGAAGGCGGCUAUCUGGACCGGUACUGACGCUGAUACGCGAAAGCCAGGGGAGCAAACGGG